AUGGACGUCGCGGACGUGCGGGGGGUGCUGCUGUACCGGGCCGGGCUGGUCACGGCCGCCGCGUCCGUCCUGGUGGCCACCUCGAGGGCGUUCCUGCCCGAGGCGAACACUGUCGGCGACGCUGUCCGGCAGGGCGCCGACCUCUUCUACGCCGUCGGGGCCGAGGGGGCUCACUUCCCCCUCCACACGCAGUUCACCGUCCUCAGCCACGUGCUCUCGGCGCGCUCCAAGUUUGCAGCCAGAAUCACCGAAGAGCCAGCGAUCCAGGACAUCGACAAGCUUGACGGUGACAACCAGCUCGCCGUCGUCGACUACAUCGAGGAUAUCUACAAAUUCUACAAAGUCGCCGAGGGACUACAUGGACUCCCAGCGGAGAUCAACGCCAAGAUGUGGGGCAUCCUCAUCGACUGGAUCCUGGAAGUGCACCAGAAGUUCGACAUGAUGCCCGAGUCGCUGUAUCUCACGGUGUAUAUCAUCGACAUGUACCUGUCGCUGCAGUCCGUGCUCCGGCGGGAGCUGCAGCUGGUGGGCGUCUCCGCCCUACUCAUCGCCUGCAACUACGAGGAGAUUUGGGCUCAUGAGGUGAAUGAUUUCAUCUUGAUCUCCGACAGCGCAUACACCCGGGAGCAGAUUCUGAAGAUGGAGAAGGCCAUCCUGAACAUGCUGGAGUGGAACCUGACGGUGCCCACGCCCUACGUCUUCCUCGUCCGUUUCACCAAGGUCGCAUGCUCCUCCUCCUCCGAUCAGAAGCACGAUAAGGAGUGCGAACACGGAUCAGUUGCUGCUAUAAACCCAACAAUUCGGAGGAGGAAUGCACGAGAAGCGAGUCCCCCAGUGAUGCCAAGACCUGAUGAAGCCAUGAUGCUUACCUCGCUGGAGCGUAUCAACCCUGGCCAUGGUACCACAUUCUUAGUCAUGAGAUGCCUUUGUUCAGCCUCUACAAACAAGAGCUCCAACCUGAAAGUGAAGAAAGCGGAAGUAUACUUGUAG
This 990-nucleotide ribosomal RNA is filed under the name Triticum aestivum (bread wheat). RNAcentral's name for it is "partial small subunit ribosomal RNA". The record is from RNAcentral. Lineage: Eukaryota; Viridiplantae; Streptophyta; Magnoliopsida; Poales; Poaceae.